RNAcentral lists this ribosomal RNA (203 nucleotides) under uncultured bacterium. RNAcentral's name for it is "partial 16S ribosomal RNA". It matches the Rfam family "Bacterial small subunit ribosomal RNA", at positions 1300 to 1500 of the family's 1533-position model. The record is from RNAcentral.
GUAGGCUGAAACUCGCCUACAUGAAGCUGGAGUUACUAGUAAUCGCAGAUCAGAAUGCUGCGGUGAAUGCGUUCCCGGGUCUUGUACACACCGCCCGUCACACCACGGAAGUUGGGGGCGCCCGAAGCCACUUAGCUAACCCUUUUGGGAAGCGAGUGUCGAAGGUGAAAUCAAUAACUGGGGUGAAGUCGUAACAAGGUACC